RNAcentral lists this unclassified non-coding RNA (22 nucleotides) under Mus musculus (house mouse). Its description in RNAcentral is "oocyte_clustered_small_RNA10047". The record is from RNAcentral. Lineage: Eukaryota; Metazoa; Chordata; Mammalia; Rodentia; Muridae.
UACCUUUAUCAGCUCCAGGAGU